CCUACGGGCGGCAGCAGUGGGGAAUAUUGCACAAUGGGGGAAACCCUGAUGCAGCGACGCCGCGUGAGUGAAGAAGUAUUUCGGUACGUAAAGCUCUAUCAGCAGGGAAGAAAAUGACGGUACCUGACUAAGAAGCCCCGGCUAACUACGUGCCAGCAGCCGCGGUAAUACGUAGGGGGCAAGCGUUAUCCGGAUUUACUGGGUGUAAAGGGAGCGUAGACGGCAGCGCAAGUCUGGAGUGAAAUCCCAUGGCUUAACCAUGGAACUGCUUUGGAAACUGUGCAGCUAGAGUGCAGGAGAGGUAAGCGGAAUUCGUAGUGUAGCGGUGAAAUGCGUAGAUAUUAGGAGGAACACCAGUGGCGAAGGCGGCUUACUGGACUGUAACUGACGUUGAGGCUCGAAAGCGUGGGGAGCAAACAGGAUUAGAUACCCUAGUAGUC
Molecule: ribosomal RNA, 440 nt
Filed under: uncultured bacterium
Lineage: Bacteria
Description: partial 16S ribosomal RNA
Rfam family: Bacterial small subunit ribosomal RNA
Source: RNAcentral